RNAcentral lists this transfer RNA (65 nucleotides) under Verrucomicrobiota bacterium. Its description in RNAcentral is "Verrucomicrobia bacterium (bioreactor metagenome) tRNA-OTHER". It matches the Rfam family "tRNA", at positions 16 to 71 of the family's 71-position model. Rfam says of the family: Transfer RNA (tRNA) molecules are approximately 80 nucleotides in length. Their secondary structure includes four short double-helical elements and three loops (D, anti-codon, and T loops). Lineage: Bacteria; Pseudomonadati; Verrucomicrobiota. The record is from RNAcentral.
AGGUAAAAGGCGGACUGUAAAUCCGCUGGCUUACGCCUUCAGUGGUUCGAAUCCACUCCUGCCCA